UCUAAGCUGUUUUAAUUGGUUUAUAGGUUACCUUUGUGUACGCUGUUACCACUGGCUUAUAAGAAGAUACGGGAAGUUGGUGGAGCUGUCGAUUCAUCAUUACACAAAGGCGUCGAACUUAACAGGGACUCCCCAACUUUCAGUUGUGCCUAUUAUAACGCUACCGAAGUCGUCGUUGCCAUGACUACCAAGAAGAAAAAAGACGCUUAUUACAAAAUAUUGUGCGCAAUCCGGACUUCUCCGCGCAACAAUCAUCGUUUUUACCUUCUCGUGAUUAUCCUAGCGGCUGAGAAUAGGAGCAGACGAGAAGAUAAACACGAGAUUUGAUGGUAGCAAGCAAAGAAGUUAGGCACAAUAGGAGAACAAACAAGCAACCCCAAAACCCUGGGCAUACAUACAGAUGAUCUUCACGAAACAAAAUAGCAAAAAGGAUUUCUACAUGACUUUUUCAUCUCGAGAAGAACAAGCACGUGGGGGUUCUGAUGGGACGGUAAUAAUAGCUGGCAGCCUUCAAGAUGUGACGCAGGCCAUUCACUCUUGUCCCUCUGUUUGGAGUUAAGCUCAUCAAGUAAAGAUUAGGCUGCUGCACUAGUUACACCUAUCACGGAUGGCAAUUGCAUGCGCCUCUUGACGAUACCCUACCCCCUGCAAUCCCCAAUCAAGGACUAGGCUUCAUUGUACUAAUUAGAUUCCAAGAGAGAGAUUGGAAACGUGACGAUCGCUAUAUAGCCUCUUGCAGGCUGAUUAUAAUCGCUGUCCCAGCUUACUUUAUUUGCAGUCGAACACGGUCGAUGUAUAGGGAGAAGCAAGAAACACUGGAUUGGAAUAAAAGAAGAGGGAAUUUACUUGUAAGCUCGAUAUGUUCUAUUGUCAGAACUCUACGAAACCGACUUGGUCUUACAAGCUUUAACGCACAUAAUAAUAGACAAUCGGCUAUGGAGGCCUAACACUGCGACUUGUGAUUUUCGUGAUUAGCUGUUGCUCUUCGUCAAAUAUUUGAAGUGGGCCGUUUUAUGGCUCCGCCGUGAUGAUGUCCGAGGAAGCUAAAGGCGGAACUGCGAACAGACGGCCGUAAGGAAAUGACGGGAGCGCCUCACGCAUAGCAGAGAAAAUGUUGCUCGUAUAUUAUACGAACGACCGAAACGGAUGGAGAAAAGGUGGGAACACGUUUUUUUUUAUCGGUGCCAGUCACGCCAAUCGCCACCGGCUGAUAGUCACGCAACGCGUUGCAUAUCCGUUUAUAUUCCCGAACACGUCGAAAUUUGUAUAUUUUUCUAGAUAAUUCGUCAAAACAAAAGAAUGUAAAAAAACAAAACAAAAAACAACCGAGCGUGUUGCGGCCGUGUUUAACGAUCCUUAAUCAACAGUGCGAUCCAUCGCGCUUUGCGGAACGAUGAGGUAAUUGUUUUGUAUUCACGAUCGUCAAAAAGAAGAUGGCCGUAAUAAUUGUUUAUAAAACGCGCCUUGUAUUCACUAAGUAGCCGAAGUCUUCUGGCACGCGUUUGGGUCGUUUCGCCUUGUUAGAACAAGAAGAUGGAUUUAAAGACGUGGCUCAUUGUUGAAUGAGCCACGCAACGGUUAUGCACCUCUUUAAUGUACGUCAUACUUUUGUUUGAAUCGGUCAUGUCCCUACAAAGACUUUCUCUAAUGUCAUUGGCACAAAAUGCUUUUGUAAAAACUAUGAGUGAUGAGGAACCGUGACGUAAUACUCGUAGAAAAAAUUGUUUAUUGGGCUUCUUGACUAGAGAAUUAGCCGACCUGUUCGUGACGUGUCGUUGCCCCGGGGGUGAACGAGCCUGCCUUUCUCAGUUUUGUUUGUUUGUGGUUAAUGUUUGAAUGAGGAAGUAUUUUGCACUAGGUUUACGGUGAUGUAUCGAUCAUGAACAUUAACGUCUUUGCGGGGUGCCUUACGAUGCAAGUUCGUUUGUCCUAGAAUGUUCAAUGGCCUCUCGUUUGCAGGUGUUUGUCAACUGGCGAUUUCACUAGCUCACAU
Long non-coding RNA from Daphnia carinata, 1993 nucleotides. RefSeq lists it as uncharacterized. Lineage: Eukaryota; Metazoa; Arthropoda; Branchiopoda; Diplostraca; Daphniidae. The record is from RefSeq and is a predicted model, not a curated record. The transcript has 4 exons.